CUAAUACAUGCAAGUCGAGCGAACUGAUUAGAAGCUUGCUUCUAUGACGUUAGCGGCGGACGCCCUGAGUAACACGUGGGCAACCUGCCUGUAAGACUGGGAUAACUUCGGGAAACCGAAGCUAAUACCGGAUAGGAUCUUCUCCUUCAUGGGAGAUGAUUGAAAGAUGGUUUCGGCUAUCACUUACAGAUGGGCCCGCGGUGCAUUAGCUAGUUGGUGAGGUAACGGCUCACCAAGGCAACGAUGCAUAGCCGACCUGAGAGGGUGAUCGGCCACACUGGGACUGAGACACGGCCCAGACUCCUACGGGAGGCAGCAGUAGGGAAUCUUCCGCAAUGGACGAAAGUCUGACGGAGCAACGCCGCGUGAGUGAUGAAGGCUUUCGGGUCGUAAAACUCUGUUGUUAGGGAAGAACAAGUACGAGAGUAACUGCUCGUACCUUGACGGUACCUAACCAGAAAGCCACGGCUAACUACGUGCCAGCAGCCGCGGUAAUACGUAGGUGGCAAGCGUUAUCCGGAAUUAUUGGGCGUAAAGCGCGCGCAGGCGGUUUCUUAAGUCUGAUGUGAAAGCCCACGGCUCAACCGUGGAGGGUCAUUGGAAACUGGGGAACUUGAGUGCAGAAGAGAAAAGCGGAAUUCCACGUGUAGCGGUGAAAUGCGUAGAGAUGUGGAGGAACACCAGUGGCGAAGGCGGCUUUUUGGUCUGUAACUGACGCUGAGGCGCGUAAUGCUGGACCCC
RNAcentral lists this ribosomal RNA (741 nucleotides) under Priestia megaterium. RNAcentral's name for it is "bacterial SSU rRNA". It matches the Rfam family "Bacterial small subunit ribosomal RNA", at positions 48 to 769 of the family's 1533-position model. Lineage: Bacteria; Bacillati; Bacillota; Bacilli; Caryophanales; Bacillaceae. The record is from RNAcentral.